AGCAGCCGCGGUAAUUCCAGCUCCAAUAGCGUAUAUUAAAGUUGUUGCAGUUAAAAAGCUCGUAGUUGAAUUUCGGGAUCAAAGGAUCGGUCAUGCCUUGGUAUGUACUGGUUUUAUUGGUUCUCACCUUCUAAAGAACCAUAAUGUCAUUCAUUUGAUGUUAUGGGGAAUUAGGACUGUUACCUUGAAAAAUUAGAGUGUUUAAAGCAGGCUUACGCUUGAAUACAUUAGCAUGGAAUAAUGAAAUAGGACAUCAGAUUCUAUUUUGUUGGUUUCUAGGAUCGAUGUAAUGAUUAAUAGGGAUAGUUGGGGGCAUUAGUAUUCAAUUGUCAGAGGUGAAAUUCUUGGAUUUAUUGAAGACUAACUACUGCGAAAGCAUUUGCCAAGGAUGUUUUCAUUAAUCAAAGAACGAAAGUUAGGGGAUCGAAGACGAUCAGAUACCGUCGUAGUCUUAACCAUAAACUAUGCCGACUAGGGAUCGGAUGAUGUUAAUUUUAUAAUGACUCAUUCC
This 511-nucleotide unclassified non-coding RNA is filed under the name uncultured Glomus. RNAcentral describes it as "SSU rRNA". It matches the Rfam family "Eukaryotic small subunit ribosomal RNA", at positions 569 to 1082 of the family's 1831-position model. The record is from RNAcentral. Lineage: Eukaryota; Fungi; Glomeromycota; Glomeromycetes; Glomerales; Glomeraceae.